UACAGAGGGUGCAAGCGUUAAUCGGAUUUACUGGGCGUAAAGCGUGAGUAGGUGGCUUUGUAAGUCGGUUGUGAAAUCCCUGGGCUUAACCUGGGAAUUGCAUCCGAUACUGCAGAGCUCGAGUUCGGUAGAGGACGGCGGAAUUCCCGGUGUAGCGGUGAAAUGCGUAGAUAUCGGGAGGAACAUCGAUGGCGAAGGCAACCGUCUGGGCCUGAACUGACACUGAGACACGAAAGCGUGGGUAGCAAACAGGAUUAGAAACCCCCGUAGUCC
RNAcentral lists this ribosomal RNA (273 nucleotides) under uncultured bacterium. RNAcentral's name for it is "partial 16S ribosomal RNA". It matches the Rfam family "Bacterial small subunit ribosomal RNA", at positions 524 to 796 of the family's 1533-position model. The record is from RNAcentral.